Molecule: ribosomal RNA, 400 nt
Filed under: alpha proteobacterium Dell 4
Lineage: Bacteria; Pseudomonadati; Pseudomonadota; Alphaproteobacteria
Description: bacterial SSU rRNA
Rfam family: Bacterial small subunit ribosomal RNA
Source: RNAcentral
GUCCGCAACGAGCGCACCCUCGCCCUUAGUUGCCAGCAUUUAGUUGGGCACUCUAGGGGGACUGCCGGUGAUAAGCCGGAGGAAGGUGGGGAUGACGUCAAGUCCUCAUGGCCCUUACGGGCUGGGCUACACACGUGCUACAAUGGCGGUGACAGUGGGCAGCGACCUCGCGAGAGGAAGCUAAUCUCCAAAAGCCGUCUCAGUUCGGAUUGUUCUCUGCAACUCGAGAGCAUGAAGUUGGAAUCGCUAGUAAUCGCGUAACAGCAUGACGCGGUGAAUACGUUCCCGGGCCUUGUACACACCGCCCGUCACACCAUGGGAGUUGGUUUUACCCGAAGGCGCUGUGCUAACCGCAAGGAGGCAGGCGACCACGGUACGGUCAGCGACUGGGGUGAAGUCU